This 21-nucleotide non-coding RNA is filed under the name Arabidopsis thaliana (thale cress). The record is from RNAcentral. Lineage: Eukaryota; Viridiplantae; Streptophyta; Magnoliopsida; Brassicales; Brassicaceae.
CUCAGCGACGGACCGGGCCUA